UACGGAGGGGGCUAGCGUUGUUCGGAAUCACUGGGCGUAAAGCGCGCGUAGGCGGUUGGUUGAGUCAGAGGUGAAAUCCCGGAGCUCAACUUCGGAAUUGCCUUUGAAACUGGCCAGCUAGAGUUCGGUAGGGGAUGAUGGAAUUCCUAGUGUAGAGGUGAAAUUCGUAGAUAUUAGGAGGAACACCGAUAGCGAAAGCGAUCAUCUGGGCCGAUACUGACGCUGAGGCGCGAAAGCGUGGGGAGCAAACAGG
RNAcentral lists this ribosomal RNA (253 nucleotides) under uncultured bacterium. RNAcentral's name for it is "partial 16S ribosomal RNA". It matches the Rfam family "Bacterial small subunit ribosomal RNA", at positions 524 to 776 of the family's 1533-position model. The record is from RNAcentral.